AUGAUCAAAACAUGGCUUGGUUUACAUGAUGUUCAUCCUACGGAUUGGGGAGGCAUGGUUUCCGUCAAGGAGUGGUGGUGCAGCAACACUUGCGGGAGGUCGCAAUCUCGAAGGCCGCUUCUUUCCCUUAUUCUUAUCUCUUGGGAAAUCUGGAAUGAGCGAAAUGCUCGGGUGUUCUUCAACAAUGCGACUCCGGUCGUUAUGCUUGUGACACACAUCAAAGUGGAGGCAUCAUCGGGUUGCCUUGCCGGGUGA
Molecule: ribosomal RNA, 255 nt
Filed under: Triticum aestivum (bread wheat)
Lineage: Eukaryota; Viridiplantae; Streptophyta; Magnoliopsida; Poales; Poaceae
Description: partial small subunit ribosomal RNA
Source: RNAcentral